RNAcentral lists this ribosomal RNA (701 nucleotides) under uncultured Actinomycetes bacterium. RNAcentral describes it as "bacterial SSU rRNA". It matches the Rfam family "Bacterial small subunit ribosomal RNA", at positions 735 to 1439 of the family's 1533-position model. The record is from RNAcentral. Lineage: Bacteria; Bacillati; Actinomycetota; Actinomycetes.
CAAUACUGACACUGAGGAGUGAAAGCGCGGGGAGCGAACAGGAUUAGAUACCCUGGUAGUCCGCGCCGUAAACGAUGGGCGCUAGUUGUGGGGACCUUCCACGGUUUCUGCGACGCAGCUAACGCAUUAAGCGCCCCGCCUGGGGAGUACGAUCGCAAGAUUAAAACUCAAAGGAAUUGACGGGGCCCCGCACAAGCAGCGGAGCAUGCGGCUUAAUUCGACGCAACGCGAAGACCUUACCAAGGCUUGACAUAUAGGGAAAAGCAGCAGAGAUGUUGUGUCCGCAAGGGCUCUAUACAGGUGGUGCAUGGUUGUCGUCAGCUCGUGUCGUGAGAUGUUGGGUUAAGUCCCGCAACGAGCGCAACCCUCGUUCUGUGUUGCCAGCAUUUAGUUGGGGACUCACAGGAGACUGCCGGGGUCAACUCGGAGGAAGGUGGGGAUGACGUCAAAUCAUCAUGCCCCUUAUGUCUUGGGCUGCACGCAUGCUACAAUGGCCGAUACAAAGGGCUGCAAUACCGCAAGGUGGAGCGAAUCCCAAAAAGUCGGUCUCAGUUCGGAUUGGGGUCUGCAACUCGACCCCAUGAAGUCGGAGUUGCUAGUAAUCGUAGAUCAGCAACGCUACGGUGAAUACGUUCCCGGGGCUUGUACACACCGCCCGUCACGUCACGAAAGUCGGUAACACCCAAAGUCAGUGGCCCAAC